CAGUCGCCGCGGGAAUACAGAGGGUGCGAGCGUUAAUCGGAUUUACUGGGCGUAAAGCGUGCGUAGGCGGCUUCUUAAGUCGGAUGUGAAAUCCCUGAGCUUAACUUAGGAAUUGCAUUCGAUACUGGGAAGCUAGAGUAUGGGAGAGGAUGGUAGAAUUCCACGUGUAGCAGUGAAAUGCGUAGAUAUGUGGAGGAACACCGAUGGCGAAGGCAGCCUCCUGGGCCAAUACUGACGCUCAUGCACGAAAGCGUGGGGAGCAAACAGGAUUAGAUACCCCAGUAGUCCCUGUCUCUUAUAC
This 301-nucleotide ribosomal RNA is filed under the name uncultured bacterium. RNAcentral's name for it is "partial 16S ribosomal RNA". It matches the Rfam family "Bacterial small subunit ribosomal RNA", at positions 509 to 807 of the family's 1533-position model. The record is from RNAcentral.